This 231-nucleotide ribosomal RNA is filed under the name uncultured Lactobacillus sp. RNAcentral's name for it is "partial 16S ribosomal RNA". It matches the Rfam family "Bacterial small subunit ribosomal RNA", at positions 131 to 355 of the family's 1533-position model. The record is from RNAcentral. Lineage: Bacteria; Bacillati; Bacillota; Bacilli; Lactobacillales; Lactobacillaceae.
AACGAGAUCGGGAUAACACCUGGAAACAGAUGCUAAUACCGGAUAACAACAGAUGAUGCCUAUCAACUGUUUAAAAGAUGGUUCUGCUAUCACUCUUGGAUGGACCUGCGGUGCAUUAGCUAGUUGGUAGGGUAACGGCCUACCAAGGCGAUGAUGCAUAGCCGAGUUGAGAGACUGAUCGGCCACAUUGGGACUGAGACACGGCCCAAACUCCUACGGGAGGCAGCAGUC